GACGAACGCUGGCGGCGUGCCUAACACAUGCAAGUCGUGCGAGAAAGUUCCUUCGGGAGCGAGUAAAGCGGCGCACGGGUGAGUAACACGUAGGUAACCUGCCCCCCAGUCUGGAACAACUAGAGGAAACUCUAGCUAAUGCCGGAUGAGACCACGAUCCCUUCGGGGGUUGCGGCCAAAGAUGGCCUCUACUUGUAAGCUAUCGCUGAGGGAUGGGCCUGCGGGCCAUUAGCUUGUUGGUGAGGUAACGGCUCACCAAGGCUGUGAUGGCUAGCUGGUCUGAGAGGAUGACCAGCCACACUGGGACUGAGACACGGCCCAGACUCCUACGGGAGGCAGCAGUGGGGAAUAUUGCGCAAUGGGCGAAAGCCUGACGCAGCGACGCCGCGUGGGUGAUGAAGGCC
Molecule: ribosomal RNA, 404 nt
Filed under: uncultured bacterium
Lineage: Bacteria
Description: bacterial SSU rRNA
Rfam family: Bacterial small subunit ribosomal RNA
Source: RNAcentral